Molecule: ribosomal RNA, 379 nt
Filed under: uncultured eukaryote
Lineage: Eukaryota
Description: partial 18S ribosomal RNA
Rfam family: Eukaryotic small subunit ribosomal RNA
Source: RNAcentral
CAAUAGCGUAUAUUAAAGUUGUUGCGGUAAAAAAGCUCGUAGUUGGAUUUCUGUUGAGAGCGAUCGGUCCAUACCAUGUAUGCGUAUCUGGCUUGCUCUCGGCAUCCUCUCGAUAGACGUUACUGCGCUUGAUUGCGUGGUGCGGAUCUCGGGACUUUUACUUUGAGGAAAUUAGAGUGUUCACGGCAGGCUUUCGCCAGAAUACAUUAGCAUGGAAUAAUACUAUAGGAUCUUGGUUCUAUUUUGUUGGUUUCUAGAAUUGAGAUAAUGAUUAAUAGGGACAAUUGGGGGCAUUCGUAUCAACACGUCAGAGGUGGAAUUCUUGGAUUGUGUUGCGACGAACUACUGCGAAAGCAUUUGCCAAGGAUGUUUUCAUUGA